GGGUCCAUGGCACAGUCUGGUAGCGCGAUUGGCUCUUAACCAAUAGGUCAGGGGUUCGAAUCCCCUUGGACCCA
Molecule: transfer RNA, 74 nt
Filed under: Candidatus Woesearchaeota archaeon
Lineage: Archaea; Nanobdellati; Candidatus Woesearchaeota
Description: tRNA-Lys
Rfam family: tRNA
About the family: Transfer RNA (tRNA) molecules are approximately 80 nucleotides in length.
Source: RNAcentral